UACGGAGGGUGCAAACGUUGCUCGGAAUUAUUGGGCGUAAAGCGCACGUAGGCGGACCAUCAAGUCGGAUGUGAAAUCCCUCGGCUUAACCGAGGACGUGCAUUCGAUACUGAUGGCCUUGAGUACGAAAGAGGAUCGCGGAAUUCCCGGUGUAGAGGUGAAAUUCGUAGAUAUCGGGAGGAACACCAGUGGCGAAGGCGGCGAUCUGGGUCGAUACUGACGCUGAGGUGCGAAAGCGUGGGGAGCAAACGGG
RNAcentral lists this ribosomal RNA (253 nucleotides) under uncultured bacterium. RNAcentral describes it as "partial 16S ribosomal RNA". It matches the Rfam family "Bacterial small subunit ribosomal RNA", at positions 524 to 776 of the family's 1533-position model. The record is from RNAcentral.